Molecule: ribosomal RNA, 497 nt
Filed under: uncultured bacterium
Lineage: Bacteria
Description: partial 16S ribosomal RNA
Rfam family: Bacterial small subunit ribosomal RNA
Source: RNAcentral
GACGAACGCUGGCGGCGUGCCUAAUACAUGCAAGUUGAGCGCUGAAGGUUGGUACUUGUACCGACUGGAUGAGCAGCGAACGGGUGAGUAACGCGUGGGGAAUCUGCCUUUGAGCGGGGGACAACAUUUGGAAACGAAUGCUAAUACCGCAUAAAAACUUUAAACACAAGUUUUAAGUUUGAAAGAUGCAAUUGCAUCACUCAAAGAUGAUCCCGCGUUGUAUUAGCUAGUUGGUGAGGUAAAGGCUCACCAAGGCGAUGAUACAUAGCCGACCUGAGAGGGUGAUCGGCCACAUUGGGACUGAGACACGGCCCAAACUCCUACGGGAGGCAGCAGUAGGGAAUCUUCGGCAAUGGACGAAAGUCUGACCGAGCAACGCCGCGUGAGUGAAGAAGGUUAUCGGAUCGUAAAACUCUGUUGGUAGAGAAGAACGUUGGUGAGAGUGGAAAGCUCAUCAAGUGACGGUAACUACCCAGAAAGGGACGGCUAACUACGUG